GCGGGGCCUUGCGUCUUGACGGCUGCUCCCCUCCUUUCCUCCCGCCACAAGCGCUCGCUGUGGUUCUGGCAGCGAAGUGCGAGACUGGGCUCGCCAGGCGGAAGUGGUUGGAGACUGCGUGUUUUCCUAGAAAGUCCUCGACCUUCGUCGGGGAGAGGAGGGGAGUGAUAAAUUGGAAGGCGGACAAGCGACAAGUGCGGUACUGGAAAGACCCAAACAUACUUGGUUGUGACCUCAGGACUCAAUAAAAUAAACAGCUGGAAAUAAGCAGACUAGUGUAAGAGUGAAUUGAAAAGAAAACCCAAGGUCACAUCUCCCAAGAAGCAGUAAUGUUCCAGCAAUAAGAAAAGGACAGUUUUUUGUCUUUUGCAUGGUGAGCCUUAUAUGAAUUACAUCAAUUUUGUCACCAAUAUCCAUCAUCAGAACAUUUUGGGGAAAAUGCCUAGAGGAGACAUCUUUAUUAAGGCCUUCAGAUGACACUUACCGUCAGUCAAUCGACCCACCUAUAAUGGCUGAAAUAUCAAAAAUCUGAAGGUGUUCUGAGCACAAGACACUUCUCCUCCACACCACCCCCACCCAUCAGCCAGCCAGCUGACUCUGAGGAUGAGGAGGAGGAGGAAGCAGCUGCUACAUCUUCGGGCUUUGCAGACACUGGAGGGACUGCCCUUGCAGGGCUGGAUAACUCCUACAUACAGCAAACAACCUGCUGUCAGCCACCUCUCACACAAAACCAAGUGGGCUAGAGCCCACACCCAGCACACCUUCUUCAUCAGGCCCUUACGCUUCUCGCCAUGAUUCCCCUGCCCUGGUCACCCUAGGGCUAGGUACAAGACAAUUAGGGACAGCCCCUACCUCCUAGCGCCGUCUGUAAUGAUUCAGACUAGCUACUUAUCCUAAUCCUGCUCAUCCUGCUGCACCUUCCUUCCUGUGGAAAACACCAUGGAGGCUCUUGGCAGUGUUUCCCCACAUCCCUCUCCCCUUCACUGACCCUGGCGCUUCCCCAUGUGUCCCCUGUAUGGUGUGGCAUGGGCCCUGUCUCUAGGGAUUUGUGAGUCCAGCACUCCCUCCUUAAUCGUCGUUUUGCUUUCCUCGUUUCAGUUACUUGCGUCAACUGCAGUAAAAGAAUAUUAAGAUAUUUUGAGAGAGAGAAGGGAAGCAAAGAGAGACCACAUUCACAUAACUUUUAUUACAGUAUAUUUUAAUAAUUGUUCUGUAUUAUUAUUAUUGUUGUUAAUCUCUCAUUGUGCCUAAUUUAUAAGUUCAACUUUAUCACAGGUCUGGAUGUAUGGGAGAAAACAGUAUCUAAAAGGUUCGCAGUUUCAGGCAUCCCCAUGAGGCUAAGGGGGGACUACUGUGUAACAAACUUCUUCCUUCAUGACAGUCAUUUCCAGAUCUGUGUGUCUUAUGGUACCUGAUUAAAACAAAUCCCAAAUACCAUUAAAACAGCACUGACUUCAUACUAGGCACUCUAUGCUUUAUGUGGAUUGUGUCAUUCACUUGUGACAAGGGCAAUAUUGGGCAAAUCCUAUCAUUCCCCUGGUUUUAAGGCUGAAAAAACAGAGGCUUAGAGAGGUGUAGUGACUUGCUCAGAGUCCUCGCUGUAGCAUGGGGUAAAGCCAGGAUAUGACUUCACAUAGUUUAACUCCAGAACUUACACUGUCAUCUUGUUUUGUUUUUCUGCUUCUCUUGUGUGUCAAAAGAAUUCCUCCUUAGUUGUUCUCAUAUGGGGCAACCAUUAAAUUAGGCAGUGUAAAAAACAAGUUAUGCAGAAUAAAGUAGCAAGAGCAAUCUACUCUGAAAUUAGUGUUUUCCCUCACUUUAGCACCUUUAGCUGACCCAGCUUCCUACCGCCCAGACAUUUUACAAAAAUCUCUCUCUGGAGUUGCCUCCUGAUCUGGAUUAGGAGUCACAUAAGAAAAUCAGUCUCAUGAGUCCAUCAUUUUUCCUCAUUUCUGACCAGAAGUAUUCUGCCCCAUUUGCUUCACCUUAUUUCUAAAUCACUCUAGCUCAUUUAAACAAACAAACAAACAAACAAACAAACAAUGAAACUUACUGCAAGGGCACAGAAUAACUAUCAUUAAAGAUGUCUGUGUAAUUAUGCCAUAAGUUGCAAGGCAAACUCAUGAAGCAUUCCGUAUGUUCUUUGAGCAGUGGCACUGUGGCUCGAACCAAUGUCCAGCUUCCACACUAUCUGCUUGGAAGAGGAUUACCCUUAUUUGGAAGUCUCAGUUUUGAGGAUUUGGGGAAAGCAGGCACGCAAGCAGACACACCUUAUUCUCUACAGCAUCAUUUAUACCUCAACUAAGUCAGCUGAACAAAUGCCUGCUGAAAAGUUCUGGGAGUGGCAUAGCUAAGAACCAGAAAGGCGAUCUUUCUUUUGGAUUAAGUCAACAGAGUCAUACCCACAAGGAGAACUAUCAAAUAUCAGAUGCGAGAGGUGAAGUGGGGUUAUAAGGUGAGAGCUGAGAAGGGAGAAACAGGGUGAGUAAACCUCCAUGACUCAGACGAAUACUGAACUUUGCAUUUCAGGAAGAAUGAGGGUUUGGGUUGCUUCUUUUUCUUUUUAAAAACCUCUUCUUUUCAGUAUUCCUUGGGGGGCGGGGUUCUCAGAGGAUUAAGGGUUUGGAAAAUUAAACAGAUAAGAUACUAAGAGUUAAAUAACACAUAAGAGGAAGAAGGAUUAGAAAGAGGAAGAAGAAAAGUAGAAAGUGUGGUAGGUACCUUCCUACCUCAAGGUAGAAGUAGUGUGUUUCUAAGUACAGAGAUAGAUUUUGUCUGAUUGGGGAGAAAUCCUGCAAAAGGAUUAGGAAGUGAGUGAGCUGAGAGAUGAAUUCCAGGGAUUGGAGGUCAUACAGAGAGCAGGGGAAGCACAAAACUAGGGCAUGGAGUUUUGGGUGGAACUGAGGAGGCGUAAAAAAAAAGUGCUGAAGUUGUGAGCUGGGAAAGGUAUCAAGUACAUAAUUUGGCAAUUUUGUUAUUUCUAAAAGAUAAGCUAACAAAUUACUUGGCUGUCAUAAAAGUUCACUUUUUAUGGAUGUUAAAAUACAUGGAGAUGUUCAUUUACAAACAUGGUGAGCUUGAGCCAGAGAGCCACCAUGAUACAUUUCAGGUAGUAUACGUUUAGUGUGACUGUGGCGCACUACCACCACCUAG
This 3153-nucleotide long non-coding RNA is filed under the name Homo sapiens (human). RNAcentral describes it as "HSALNT0220983". Lineage: Eukaryota; Metazoa; Chordata; Mammalia; Primates; Hominidae. The record is from RNAcentral.